GCCUAAGGUGGGAUAGAUGAUUGGGGUGAAGUCGUAACAAGGUAGCCGUAUCGGAAGGUGCGGCUGGAUCACCUCCUUUCUAAGGAA
This 87-nucleotide ribosomal RNA is filed under the name Streptococcus suis. RNAcentral's name for it is "partial 16S ribosomal RNA". It matches the Rfam family "Bacterial small subunit ribosomal RNA", at positions 1455 to 1533 of the family's 1533-position model. Lineage: Bacteria; Bacillati; Bacillota; Bacilli; Lactobacillales; Streptococcaceae. RNAcentral also lists the same sequence under 1 other name. The record is from RNAcentral.